GAAAUGCGAUAAGUAAUGUGAAUUGCAGAAUUCCGUGAAUCAUCGAAUCUUUGAACGCACAUUGCGCCCCCUGGUAUUCCGGGGGGCAUGCCUGUCCGAGCGUCAUUGCAACCCUCAAGCCCGGCUUGUGUGAUGGGCCGCCGUCCCCUGUGGACGGGCCCGAAAGGCAGUGGCGGCGUCGCGGUUAUCCGAACGCCUGGUGUAUGGGGCUCUGUCACGCACCACGGCCUGGACCGGCGCCCGCCGAACCCCCUCAACUAUCUUCUAGGUUGACCUCGGAUCAGGUAGGGAUACCCGCUGAACUUAA
Molecule: unclassified non-coding RNA, 307 nt
Filed under: uncultured Gymnoascus
Lineage: Eukaryota; Fungi; Ascomycota; Eurotiomycetes; Onygenales; Gymnoascaceae
Description: sequence contains ITS1
Rfam family: 5.8S ribosomal RNA (bases 1-105)
Source: RNAcentral